GUUAAGUCCCGCAACGAGCGCAACCCUUGUCAUUAGUUGCCAUCAUUGGUUGGGCACUCUAAUGAGACUGCCGGUGACAAACCGGAGGAAGGUGGGGAUGACGUCAAGUCCUCAUGGCCCUUAUGGGUAGGGCUACACACGUCAUACAAUGGAUGGUACAAAGGGUCGCCAACCCGCGAGGGGGAGCCAAUCCCAUAAAGCCAUUCGUAGUCCGGAUCGCAGUCUGCAACUCGACUGCGUGAAGUCGGAAUCGCUAGUAAUCGUGGAUCAGAAUGUCACGGUGAAUACGUUCCCGGGCCUU
RNAcentral lists this ribosomal RNA (301 nucleotides) under uncultured Polaromonas sp. RNAcentral describes it as "bacterial SSU rRNA". It matches the Rfam family "Bacterial small subunit ribosomal RNA", at positions 1079 to 1382 of the family's 1533-position model. The record is from RNAcentral. Lineage: Bacteria; Pseudomonadati; Pseudomonadota; Betaproteobacteria; Burkholderiales; Comamonadaceae.